Molecule: ribosomal RNA, 486 nt
Filed under: Fusarium oxysporum f. sp. lentis
Lineage: Eukaryota; Fungi; Ascomycota; Sordariomycetes; Hypocreales; Nectriaceae
Description: eukaryotic LSU rRNA
Rfam family: 5.8S ribosomal RNA (bases 129-282)
Source: RNAcentral
ACCCCUGUGACAUACCACUUGUUGCCUCGGCGGAUCAGCCCGCUCCCGGUAAAACGGGACGGCCCGCCAGAGGACCCCUAAACUCUGUUUCUAUAUGUAACUUCUGAGUAAAACCAUAAAUAAAUCAAAACUUUCAACAACGGAUCUCUUGGUUCUGGCAUCGAUGAAGAACGCAGCAAAAUGCGAUAAGUAAUGUGAAUUGCAGAAUUCAGUGAAUCAUCGAAUCUUUGAACGCACAUUGCGCCCGCCAGUAUUCUGGCGGGCAUGCCUGUUCGAGCGUCAUUUCAACCCUCAAGCACAGCUUGGUGUUGGGACUCGCGUUAAUUCGCGUUCCUCAAAUUGAUUGGCGGUCACGUCGAGCUUCCAUAGCGUAGUAGUAAAACCCUCGUUACUGGUAAUCGUCGCGGCCACGCCGUUAAACCCCAACUUCUGAAUGUUGACCUCGGAUCAGGUAGGAAUACCCGCUGAACUUAAGCAUAUCAAUAA